CACUAAAUGUCUCCCACUGCUCGCUGCUCUGAUUCAGCUGGGACCAAGUCUGGUUUAGGGACAGCAUUGACAGAGAUUUGCUUGGAGGAGCCUCUGCAGGAGAGCCUGAAUAACCUACCUCAACUGGCUGAUCCCCAACGUCUGCUGAAUCUUCCAAACCAAUCAGUUUGGGCAUUAAGCUUUCAGGGAGUUUUUCUCGUAAGUCAUAGCCAUUGUUCCUAGCAACUACCAGAUGAAAUGCAGCACAAAACUCAACCAGUGUCAAGGCUCUAUCUUUAUCAAAAUCUGAGAGUUCCCAAAUAUGAGAAAGUUGAAUAGGAAAUUUCAAUUUUGUAAAAAACUCUUUAGCUGUAGAUCCUGGAGCUAAACAGGAAUCAAUCUGUUUAGAUCAGGCUGAACGGUUUUAAAUUGAUUUACAUAGACUGUCUUUGUUCAUCUGUUAUUUCCCAAGGAUCGUCAUAACUACUGGAUUGCCUACGAAUUUCAUUGGCAGUUGUAGCUGAGGCUACAGUUCGUAUUGUUGUCUGGUCCUAGACAGAAGCAGGAUGCAUGGUUAAAAGAGUACUGGUUAGUGGAAUAUCUGCAAAACUGACCCAGUUUUCUUGAGGUGGAGGUGGAGAAUGUCCUACCUACACUGUGUCACCAGCAGAAGAACCUGAUUGUGCUUCACCAAAGGGAGCCCAGAAUGGCCCAGGCUCUGCAAGAGGCCUCUCACUCUUUCCUCCACUGGGAUGACGGUUUUGAUUCCUCCAUGUGUGUGGAGAAGUUGGUGGAGACUGCUGUGGCUUCCCAUCUAUUUAGCUCUUUAAAAGAGGUUAAAAAGAGAAGACUCUGUAGACUUUACCCAUCUAAUUGGAGAAGACUCACCCACACAGGAGACCCCUGGCAUUGCACCAAGAAAGGCAAUGCCAAGGAAUGUUCAAACCACAACUGCACUCAUCUCACAAACUAGAAAAGUAAUGCUGAAAAUCCUCCAAGCAAGGCUUCAACAGUAGCUUCAAAGUGAACAAAGGCUUCAAAGUGAACUGAGAACUUCAAGCUGGACUUAGAAAAGGCAGAGGAACCAGAAAUCAAAUUGCCAACAUCCUUUGGAUCACCAAAAAGGCAAGAGAGUUCCAGAAAAACAUCUACUUCUGCUUUAUUGACUAUGCUAAAGCCUUUUACUGUGUGGAUCACAGCAAACUGUGGAAAAUUCUUAAAUGGAUGGGAAUACCAGACCACCUUACCUGACUCCUGAGAAAUCUGUAUGCAGGUCAAGAAGCAACAGUUAAAACCAGACAUGGAACAACAGAUUGGUUCUGAAUUGGGAAAGGAGUAUGUCAAGGCUCUAUAUUGUCACUCUGCUUAUUUAACUUAUAUGCAGAGUACAUCAUGCAAAACGCUGGACUGGAUGAAGCACAAGCUAGAAUCAAGACUGCCGGGAGAAAUAUCAAUAACCUCAGAUACGCAGAUGACUCUACCCUUAUGGCAGAAAGCAGAGAGAAACUGAGAAGGCUUUUGAUGAAAGUGAAAGAGGAGAGUAAAAAAUUGGCUUAAAUUCAACCUUCAGAAAACUAAGAUCUUGGUGUCUAGUUCCAUUACUUCUUGGCAAAUAAAUGGGGAAACAAUGGAAACAGUGAGAGAUUUUAUUUUGGGGGGCUCCAAAAUCACUGUAGAUGGUGACUGCAGCCCUGAAAUUAGAAGACUCUUUCUUCUUGGAAGAAAAGCUAUGACCAACCUAAACAGCAUAUUAAAAAGCAGGACAUUACUUUGCCAACAAAGGUCUGUCUAGUCAAAUGUAUUGUUUUUCCAGUAGUCAUGUAUGGAUGUGAGAGUUAGACCAUAAAGAAAGCUGAGUGCCGAAGAAUUAAUGCUUUUGAACUGUGGUGUUGGAGAAGACUCUGAGAGUCCCUUGGACAGCAAGGAGAUCCAACUGGUCCAUGUUAAAGGAAAUCAGUCCUGAAUAUUCAUUGGAAGGACUGAUGCUGAAGCUGAAGCUCCAAUACUUUGGCCACCUGAUGCAAAGAGCUAACUCAUUUGAAAAGACCCUGAUGCUGGGCAAGACCAAAGGCAGGAGGAGAAGGGGACAACAGAGGAUGAGAUGGUGAAUGGCAUAACCUACUGGAUGGGCAUGAAUUUGGGCAAGCUCCAGGAGUUGGUGAUGGACAGGGAAGCCUGGCAUGCUGCAGUCCAUGGGGUUGCAAAGAGUUAGACACGACUGAGUGACUGAUCUGAACAAAAUCCAUCUCUGUCACUGGCUACUUAUAUUGCCUUAAAUUUCCCAAGUUUCUAUUCAGCAUAAGGUACUGAAAGUUCUUGAUAAAUAAAAUA
This is a long non-coding RNA of Bos taurus (domestic cattle), 2310 nucleotides long. Lineage: Eukaryota; Metazoa; Chordata; Mammalia; Artiodactyla; Bovidae. The record is from Ensembl.